This 253-nucleotide ribosomal RNA is filed under the name uncultured bacterium. RNAcentral's name for it is "partial 16S ribosomal RNA". It matches the Rfam family "Bacterial small subunit ribosomal RNA", at positions 524 to 776 of the family's 1533-position model. The record is from RNAcentral.
UACGGAGGGUGCGAGCGUUGUUCGGAAUCACUGGGCGUAAAGGGCGCGUAGGCGGUCUUAUAAGUCAGAUGUGAAAGCCCACGGCUUAACCGUGGAAGAGCAUUUGAAACUGCAAGACUUGAGUACCAGAGGGGAAAGUGGAAUUCCCGGUGUAGAGGUGAAAUUCGUAGAUAUCGGGAGGAAUACCGGUGGCGAAGGCGACUUUCUGGCUGGAUACUGACGCUGAGGCGCGAAAGCGUGGGGAGCAAACAGG